CAAACACGAGUGCCCAACCGCUUGGCAACACCUGGGUUUGAAGUGCAGGGUUAUAUACACAGGCUAUAUAAGAUGAAAUAAGUUAUAGCACUUUCAACAAAUUCUGCUCUACUUUCCGCUAUUCUGCACCGUCUGCACACUCAACUUCCUCCCAUCAUCUUCUCAAAAUAAAUCAAUAAAAAACUUCCUCCCAUCAUUUUCUCUUUUCCUCUCAAGUUUAUAACUUUCACAGUUGUGUGCCCACAUUGUCUUGUAGCUGAGAGUGAGAGAGAGCCUCCCACUCCUCACCCCUCACCCAUCACAGUGCCGUUUUCACAAAAGGGUCCCCAUAUUUGAAUUCCUUUUCAUUUUAAUGACGCAUCAAACUUGCUCCAGUUACACCUUUACUCUUUUUUAAUAUUCUCUUUAGAUAGGUCUCUCAUUGUUCACCACCAAUCAUUGCUCUCAUUUUUUCUCUGCUACACAUCCAUGGACCUCUGUAGAUUUCACUACUGCUUGUCAAGACUCAUUUUCAUCUCAGGCAUUGUGUUUCCUGUAAUGGUUGCUUCAAUUGGAGUAAACUAUGGUCAAAUUGCAAACAAUCUACCAUUACCAGAAAACGUAGUACCUCUAGUGAAAUCAAUUGGUGCCACCAAAGUCAAGCUUUACGAUGCAGAUCCAAGAGUUCUCCAAGCGUUUGCUAACACUGAUGUGGAAUUCAUGGUGGGUUUGGGCAAUGACUUGUUGGGCAAAAUGAAAGAUGUAGACAAAGCUCAAACUUGGGUCAAGAGCAACGUCCAAGCCCACCUCCCAGCUACCAAAAUCACUUCCAUUUUUGUUGGUAAUGAAGUCUUAACCUUCAAUGAUACCAUUCUCACUGGCUGUCUUGUCCCUGCAAUGCAAAGCGUACACACUGCACUUGUUAAUCUUGGGCUGGACAAGCAAGUUAGUGUCACUACUGCUCACUCCUUAGCUAUUCUUGAAACCUCAUAUCCUCCCUCUUCCGGAGCUUUUCGACGCGAUUUGACCAGCUGCAUAACCCCGAUCUUGAACUUCCAUGCCAAAACAGGUUCACCAUUCCUCAUCAACGCAUACCCAUACUUCGCAUACAAGGCAAGCCCAAAACAAGUGUCAUUGGACUUUGUUUUGUUCCAACAAAACCAAGGAACUAUAGAUCCAUCAACAAAUCUCCACUAUGACAACAUGUUGUUUGCACAAAUAGACGCAGUUUAUGCAGCACUAGCUGCCCUGGGUUACAAGAAACUACCCGUUCAUAUUUCGGAGACGGGGUGGCCAUCCAAAGGUGAUGAAGACGAGGCUGGUGCAACCCCAGACAACGCAAAGAAGUACAAUGGGAAUUUGAUGAAGCUUAUGAGCCAAAAGAAAGGGACACCUAUGAAACCUGACUCAGACCUCAACAUUUAUGUGUUUGCUAUGUUCAACGAGAACAUGAAGCCCGGUCCAACUUCAGAAAGGAAUUACGGGUUAUUUAAGCCUGAUGGAACACCUGUGUACUCGCUUGGAAUUGCCUUAAGCAACAGUACAUUUAGUAACACUACAAGUUUCGGUGGAUCUAGUGGGAGUUCUGACACGCCAACCUCGUCACAAGGCAGUUCUUCCACUGGUUAUUUGACCAUUUCGUCUGCUACUACGAAAAGAUACCCAUUGGUUGGCCCAGUAUCCUUUUUCUUUAUGUUUAUGAUCAAAUUGUUGCUGUAAAGUUUGAUUAGCUGAGCGUCGGAAAAUAUCCAUCUACUGUUAAAAGCAAUGGAGAGGAGAGAGUAAAAGAGAAUAAAGAGGCAGCUUCAGAGUCAAGAAAAGGAAGAUAUUUCAGUGUCGCAAUAAUUUUAAAGGGCGUUAGGUUUGUUGAUGAAGAGUUCGAUAGUUUAAAAGAGGUGGACCCACAAUUCUAUUAGAGUGUAGUUUAGAUUUAUCAAUUUGUUGUUUGUUGUAUCUCCUUUUUCAUCGCUGUGAACAGGGUGUUAUUAUCUUUUAUUAUUAUUAUUAAUGUUAGAUCAAUUUGGUGUACAAUUAAACUUAAGUAGUGGGUAUUUUGGUUGGUCUAGAGCCACUUUCAGUGUGAA
RNA transcript from Quercus robur (English oak), 2063 nucleotides. It is a transcript of the gene named glucan endo-1,3-beta-glucosidase 11-like, with no coding region annotated. The record is from RefSeq and is a predicted model, not a curated record. NCBI's taxonomy places the organism in Eukaryota, Viridiplantae, Streptophyta, Magnoliopsida, Fagales, Fagaceae. The transcript is spliced from 5 exons.